Molecule: unclassified non-coding RNA, 687 nt
Filed under: Hevea brasiliensis (rubber tree)
Lineage: Eukaryota; Viridiplantae; Streptophyta; Magnoliopsida; Malpighiales; Euphorbiaceae
Source: RNAcentral
CCAAGCUCAUCCUGAUAAUCUUUUAGCUGUUGGAGUUCAAGAAUGGCAACAAAGUACAUUGUUGGUUCAGUGUUGGCAUCAUUUGCAGUUGCAUAUGUUUGUGAUGUUGUUAUUGCAGACAAGAAGGUGUUUGGAGGUACUACUCCACACACUGUUGCAAACAAUGAAUGGUGGAAAGAGACUGACAAAAAAUUCCAGGCAUGGCCUCGCACUGCUGGUCCCCCAGUGGUCAUGAACCCUAUCAGCCGCCAAAACUACAUUGUCAAGUCUUGAUUAAGAUGUUUGGUCUCUGUUUCCUUUCGAGUAGUUGUGUGGUAGUUCGAUUGUAAUAAACGUUUGUUUCUGCUUGUGCAGCUACGGGUGUUAUGUCUUGUAUCAGUGAAUCGACUGUUAAACUUGAAAGGAUACAUGAUCAAAUGGAUAAAAGUAGCUACUUGUGUCUUUUAACUUGUAAUGUUGAUUCUCAGCUCUCUUUGCAGCUUUAUUUCUGGCUAAAAUGAUAAAUUUAUGUAAGAUGGGAAUACCCGUGCGUUUUAGAUCUUAUGUUACAUUGUAUAUGUAGGAAAGAGUUCAUCUGUAUUUGUGUGUGUUUUUCUUUUGUAAUCGGAAGAGUUCAUCUACCAGAAAUAUGUAUUUGUGUGUUUUUCUUUUGUAAUCGGAAGAGUUCAUCUACCAGAAAUAUGUAUU